GAUCCAUGUAAGCAUCAACUAUCUUUUUCCACUGUACUCAACAUCGUGCAGGUAACUUGGCUUUGGCACCGUAUAGAAUAAAGGCUGACAAUAUACUUAAGACGAACUAGCUUCGUCGAGGAAGCUGACCUUCUGUUGCUUUGACCUGAAGUGGUCAGCAUCCAGCUAAAGUUGCUUCAGGACUUUUAAUGGAGCAGAAUAACGGGAAGAACUGCUCAUGGAAAUAGAGCGGUCUCUGAUCUUAGUGGAAUUUGUUCUAUAUGACUCUCAGGUAUGCCUCUCUUUUACCAAAAAUGUAUAGCACUUGCGCAGAAAAACAGUUGACGGUAGCAACCAUUAAUCUUAAAGAAAUGUUUUCAAUAAUUAGUACAAAGCGAUGAUCAUUCGUCUAUUGUACAGAAUUUAGUCCCUUGGGCCGCAACGUACAAAUAAACAUAUAAAAGCACUCCAUAUGAUGCCUAACAAUGACGAAUGCAAUAAAAACUAAACCUAACACAUUAUUUU
Non-coding RNA from Sesamum indicum (sesame), 504 nucleotides. The record is from RefSeq and is a predicted model, not a curated record. NCBI's taxonomy places the organism in Eukaryota, Viridiplantae, Streptophyta, Magnoliopsida, Lamiales, Pedaliaceae.